UGAAUGUCUGAAAUGAAAAUCUCAACUGAUUCAAAGAUAAAGAAUAUAAAAUCAGUACUUUUAGGAAGGAGCCACAUUAGCCUUCCUCUCUGCAGACCAACUUCCAUUCCAAGAAUAAUUUUCAUCUCUGUCAAAAGCAGGUAGAUUUAUAUUCCCUAAAACAACUCCUUAUACGUCGGAAGUGCCCAAUCAUUAUUUUUGAGUGGAGGACUGAAUCAAUAAGCUUUGAGGUGGUAAAUAUCAUUCCACGAUCCCACCCCUGUGUUGGUGAGAGAGAGAAGCAAGG
Long non-coding RNA from Lutra lutra (Eurasian river otter), 286 nucleotides. RefSeq lists it as uncharacterized. The transcript has 3 exons. NCBI's taxonomy places the organism in Eukaryota, Metazoa, Chordata, Mammalia, Carnivora, Mustelidae. The record is from RefSeq and is a predicted model, not a curated record.